Long non-coding RNA from Cydia strobilella, 591 nucleotides. RefSeq lists it as uncharacterized. The record is from RefSeq and is a predicted model, not a curated record. NCBI's taxonomy places the organism in Eukaryota, Metazoa, Arthropoda, Insecta, Lepidoptera, Tortricidae. The transcript has 3 exons.
UUUACAAAUAUUUUACGUCCAAAAGAGAGGUAUGGGCACUGUGAAUGUCAUCUCGCUUUGUGUGGUAGGGCACAGCACAGCGGAUGUUAUUCCGGAUCUAGAGCAGAGCCCAACUGGGGAAGUACCUCCACCUUACAGAAAACCGCAGCCAAAUAACACUAGAACCUACUCAUAGUGUUGUGUUCCUGCCGGUGAGUAAGGUUGCCAGAGCUCAACGAGGGAGAGGAUGUUAGGUUCGACAGCGCGCAUGUUAUAUCUCUGGUGAUGCAAGCGUCCAUAGGCUACGGAGACUGCUUACCAUCAGGCGGGCCGUAUGCUUGUUUGCCACCGACGUAGUAUUAAAAAAAAAGUGGCCUAGCGGUAAGAGCGUGCGACUUUCAAUCCGGAGGUCGCGGGUUCAAACCCCGGCUCGUACCAAUGAGUUUUUCGGAACUUAUGUACGAAUCAUUUCAUAUUUACCAGUUACUUUUCGGUGAAGGAUAACAUCGUGAGGAAACCGGACUAAUCCCAAUAAGGCCUAGUUUCCCCUCUGGGUUGGAAGGUCAGAUGGCAUUCGCUUUCGUAAAAACUAGUGCCUACGUCAAUUCUUAG